This 253-nucleotide ribosomal RNA is filed under the name uncultured bacterium. RNAcentral's name for it is "partial 16S ribosomal RNA". It matches the Rfam family "Bacterial small subunit ribosomal RNA", at positions 524 to 776 of the family's 1533-position model. The record is from RNAcentral.
UACGGAGGGUGCGAGCGUUAUCCGGAUUUACUGGGUUUAAAGGGUGUGUAGGCGGACUUUUAAGUCAGCGGUGAAAUCUCCGGGCUCAACCCGGAAACUGCCAUUGAUACUAUUGGUCUUGAAUGUUGUUGAGGUGGGCGGAACGGGUCAUGUAGCGGUGAAAUGCAUAGAUAUGACCCGGAACACCGAUUGCGUAGGCAGCCCACUAAGCAACGAUUGACGCUGAGGCACGAAAGCGUGGGGAUCAAACAGG